GGUGGAACGCUAGCGACAGGCUUAACACAUGCAAGUCGAGGGGCGAGCGAUAGGUGGCAACACCGAGUCGGCGACCGGCGCACGGGUGAGUAACGCGUAUGCAACCUGCCCAUCAGCGGGGGGAGUAACCCGUCGAAAGACGGACUAAUACCGCAUAAAACAGGGGUUCCGCAUGGAAAUAUUUGUUAAGAUUAUUGCUGAUGGAUGGGCAUGCGUUCUAUUAGGCAGUUGGUGGGGUAACGGCCCACCAAACCGACGAUAGAUAGGGGUUCUGAGAGGAAGGUCCCCCACCAUUGGUACUGAGACACGGACCAAACUCCUACGGGAGGCAGCAGUGAGGAAUAUUGGUCAAUGGGCGAG
This 360-nucleotide ribosomal RNA is filed under the name uncultured bacterium. RNAcentral describes it as "bacterial SSU rRNA". It matches the Rfam family "Bacterial small subunit ribosomal RNA", at positions 27 to 379 of the family's 1533-position model. The record is from RNAcentral.